UCAUCUCCUGCUCCCUUCACAUACCCCUCCAUCUCUCUCCCAAGUCCCAAGGAGGCGCGGCCGUAGGGCGACGGCGCCCUCGCAGGCGGCGCGCUGGCACGAGCAGGCCAUGGCGGCCCUCCUAGAUCCUCCGCUGCCGGUGCCCAUACUGAAGGUCCUCGCCGCCACCGGCACCACUCGGACGGCCACGGCUGUGGCCCCUGCUGUUGGCGGCCCCGGUACGGCGUGGCGCAGGCGGUGCGCCGUUGGUGGCCACGGCUGCCCCCUUCCCGGCUUCCCCCUACCCACACUAGCGAGGGCUGGUGCCGGUGUUCUACACCGCUAGGCGCUCUGCUUGACCUCCCGUCGUCUGAUCGAUAGGGCCAACAGGGCAACGGCUGCCAGUACGGGACAAAACGGCAAGAGGGCAAAGGCCGCCGACACCCACGGGGACUGGGACAAUGGAAAAUGCCAUCGAUCACGGCCUGUUUUUCUCCUUGGACAAUCUCCUGCAGAUCCGGAACAGAUCGAGAAGGUGAGUUGCUUCGCUUUCUAGGUGAUUUGGAAUUUUUCUCCACCUUAGGCUGAUUCAUUAGUUUGUUGGUUGUUUGCAGCCUGAAGAAUAAUUGAUUAAUUUUGUAGAGUUAGGAAAGAAGCAAGUUUUGCUCGCUUCCUCUCUGUUCUGUAAACCAUAUAUUCUUUAACGAUGUCAGUUUCCAUGUAUUUAAGGUUUGACACAAAAUCUGAAUUCUAACCCACCCUAAUAUGGACAAAUAUAAUAUAUGGCAAUAGAGAAAUUGUUAGUUGAGUAUGUUUUCGAUCACUAUUACCAUCACCCCUACAACAUAUAAAGCCAAAGCUUAUGGAUAACUGUGUUUUCACUAGAGCUACAUGUAUUUCCUUCAUGACAGAGAGGCUCAAUGUUUUAAAUCUUUUGUUCUUAUCUUACAACUAGCAUCUUGUCAUAUUUUGUGGUCUUGCAGGAUUGAGAUGCUACAGAGUUCAAACAUGUUGGGAAGUGCCAAAAUUGAUGGCUAAUAUGUGAUAAUAAAAUCAACACAUUUUAAAUUAUUUGUUUUCACAGUGAAACAUAGCAUUGCACUGGUACUUUUGGCCUCAAAUUUGCACUGGUACUACUGAAGUGUUUUAACUUUCAGAAAUCAACGGCUUGUCUCAUGUUUGGGAGUUGAAAUACACACCUACACUCUUGGCUUUCUUGCAGGGUUUUGUUCCUUGAAUCUUAAUGAUAUUUUGAUUGUUCAUUUUAUUUUUUUAUAAUGUUUAUCUUAUUUUGUAUGUUACUGUAGCAGGCACACUGGGGAUUGGCAACGACCUCUGAACAGUAUGUAGAAGAAUCGCAGAAUAAGAUAUUAAAGUCUUUACUUGGCCAGCAGUUCCAAUGUUGCAGUACAAGCACUGCUGCAAUUCCAGAUUGCCGAGAGUUACAGACAAGAGGGUCUACGCUGGUCUGAUAUGUGCAUGCUGCAUGAACAAGUUUGGACUUUGCAUUCACCAGUUGCACUCAUCCGUCAGACUCUCUAAAAGCAUUUUCUAUUUAAUGUUCUUGUGUACUGACUUGCGGAUGUGAAGACCGUCAGGAUGGAAAGGGGUGUGAAGGCCGUCAGGACUAACUCGCCUCAACUUUUGCUGGGUUAACUAGCUCUAAUCACAGCUUGUACAGUUGCCGGCUAUAGAUUUUUAUGCCUUUUCAAUUUUUUAUCUUAAUGUGUCCCGUGCUUCAAAUUAAAUAAGUUAAUUAUACUAUGCGAGACAUGACUUUAUUAUGUCUCAUUAUGCAUGAGUAUUUUUUUGUAUUAUAUGUAUGGUCACAUAUAAUUGCAUGAGACUUAAACUGUAGAAAACUAUCAUUGUUUAGUUGUUUUCAUGUGCAUUCUGAAAAAAGCCGUAGCGUUAGCACGGGCACUAUACUAGUAUUGCCAGGUUAAUUUGCAUCCGUCCCUGGUUUACAUUUGAACCGGCGAUCUCUACCCGUGGAAAGAUGAUGUCUUUUUUUGAAGUGUAAACACGUUGGCUAUAUGUGAGGCGAGCCGGUGACCUUGGACGCCGUCGUCAUCAGUUCCUCUCACGCGGUCAAAUUUGCCCCCACGUUGUCUCGCCUCAUAUCCACACCUCGAUCUCUUCUCCACAGUCUGGCCUGGCGGCAGUCUCCACUCCCCAUCCCCAUCCCCAUCCCAGUCGGAGAAGAGGCCAUCCCCGCCGGCCGCCGCGAGACACUACAACCGACCCUGCGCGCGGCGGCGCCCAAGCUCGCCUCGUCUCCAUGCGGCACGAGCGCUCCGGACCCGAUCAGGUGCCGAAAAAAAUUUUCCUACCGAAAAAGAAAACCUUGGUGACGCCUUGCCAGGAUUGGGCGUGAAUUUUUAAGUGCGCGUCAUCUGCCGGGUGAACAACCGUGGAGCGGUGUUUCGUCUGCCAGUGGACGAUUGCUACCGAGAUGUUUUAGUUGUAGAGAUCUAGGUUAUAACUCAUGGACAGAAAUAGAACCUAUGAACUGAAUUUAAACCUGUAACUUCAAUAAAUCAGCACUUAAGCUAUCCUGGAUCCAACUUAUUUACGAUCUGAGAUGCUUAGCUCAAUUAAGAACCAUGUUUGCCUAGCAUUGUACUCCCUCCGUCCAUAAGUCUCCUUCAUUUUAGCCUCCGGCACCUUGACCAAGGAAGCGUUGAGGCAUGCAAAUCCUUCUUUAAUCACAGCUCUCCAUUUAAUGCUUGGUGUCUGUUAGUUUUCUGCAAUACUAAGAUGCAACGCCGUUUUCCCACAUGCAAGCGUUGCAUGCUGCAUGCGGAGGCUAGCUGGCGUACCUGAAGGGAAGCAAACAAAAUUCAACGGGAAUGCAGCAACAACGUAUUUAUUCGGCUUGGCAUAUGAGGAGUAUUGAGCGCAGGAAACAAAGCAAAAAUAGGGGAGACCAUGGAGACUAUUGGAAUUGUUUUUUUGCUCAAAUGAUAGAGAGGAGUACUAUCAUCCAUGUUUUUUGGGGAAAAGAAUAUAAACCCAUCUCCAAGAGUACCCCAUAUCCCUUUUGGGAGUUGGAAAACAUGGAGUUUUGGGGAGAACAAUAUGAGGCACUCUUGGAGAUUCUCAAGAUUCUCUAAGAUAAUGUUCUCUUGAUAAAAAAUAACAAUUACUAUGACUGCAAAAAAUACAUUAUUACCAGCUUGACCACCAUUAGUCUUCAAACUGUUUAGUGCUUUGCAUUUGGUGAAGGCUUUGCAUUUCGUCUUCAAACUGCUUGAUGCACAACUUCAGAUUGUAUUGCACAUAAAACAACUUGUGGAGCUUCUCAUAAUUUAAUCUAUUUCUUAAUUUGGUAUGAACUAAGGCGAAUGUGCUCCAAUUUCGUGCACACCCACUAGAGGGACAUAUAUGCAUUAUGAUACAAUAUGUCGUGCAAGCUCUUGUAGUUCUUUACUUCUUUGCAAGCUCCACCAUAUUGAUCCCACCAAUCAGCUAAAAAAGGGAAAAAUAAAAUCCUUAUUCAUUACUACAGGCAAGACAAAAGUAUCCUGGAAUACUAUGAAAACAGCAAGUUAAAAACCUUAUUCAUUACUGCCAGCAAGACAAAAGUAUGCUGAAAUAAUACUAUGAAAACAGCAAGAUAAAAUCAUUGUUCAUUACUACCAGCAAGACAAAAGUAUGCUGAAUUCACUACCACCAGCAGUUUAGAUGCAAUUACCUGGACGCAUUUUGCCACUGAGUGCUGGUCUUCGAGCCUCCUCUCCUCCCAAAUAACCCACCUUGCUUGCUGAAAAUAGUAUAUUGGUCAACUGCAGCAGAAGCCUUUGAAGAUGAGCUUGCAAGCUUCUUGAAGGCAAAUGUGACAUGAUGUCUAUAUUCUGUUCUUGCAAGCUUGUGAAUUAAGUGCAGCAGUUAAGAUGAGAAAUAAGUCCAGCAACAUUAGAAAUUGGUGGAGUGCUUGAAAUAGGAACAUGUAUUGAACAAGCUUCACUUUAGCCCUUACCUGCAAUCAUAAGAUUAUCAUUGACAAGAUAUUGAAGCCUUCCUUUGAUUACCUCCAUUAACUUAUCAAGCAUAAGUUUGUAACCGAGAUCAGGAUUAUGACUUAGGUUGCCACAUAUGUCAUCUAUAGAACUUAAAUUUUUGGGAAGGAAUCCAGAUAUUGAAGUACCCUUCUGCUGAUCAGCAAAACAAAGUACAGAAUAGAGCAGUGAGACAGCUUUUAACACCAAUUCCAUCUCACUCCAUCUUUUGGAAGUCAAACAAUUAUAUGUGUAAUCAUGUUGCUCUUCGUUUGCCGUCCUGCAACUCUCCCAAUCAUCAGAUAUCAUCCAUUGCUUAAACUUAUCUUGUCUAUCCCAGAAACUCUGAAGAAAUAUGAAAAGUGCGCCAAACCUAUAGUGGCAUUCCACCUAAUGAGCUCCCCACCAAUCUUUUCUCUCAUCAUAGCAUGCACCCUACAAUGAGAAGAGUCAUUACAAAACUAUAAUUGUUUUCAACACAACUUUCUCAAUUAUAGUAGUAACAGUAAUUACCUAUUAUGCUUGUACAAGAACCUACAAAUUCAAUUUGCACUAUUCACAACAUAUUUGGCAUCAAUAUAGGUCACUUGAGCUCAUCGGACGGGCAUGCCUAUCGAGUUUUUCUUUUUCUAUUAACAAAACGGUGUGGAUCGAGCUUCUCCGCUCGAGCUCAUCGGAGUGGUGCGCCUAUCUCCCCAAACCAGUGCAUCCCCUUUAGGAUCGAGCAUCUGGCUAUGCGGGUCACGAAUUUGAGAUUCUCCUGCUGGUGCCACUGUCAGGGACGAGCCUGGUUGCAAAUCAAGCUUUCCGUUGGAAUUGUUGUCGAUUUCCAGAGUUUACUGCGAUAGAACUAGGCAAAAUGGAUUCCCAAGGUCACGAAGAAUUGGUUGCUGGUAGUGUUGCUUGGCACUGGUCUUGGUAGCAGUGUACCGGUGACGACGUUGAGUGGUGGCAGCGACAAGAGUUGUCAAUUCAAAGCAGUAGGGUAAGGUGAAAAAGUGAGACUCAUGGUAACACCAAGAUUUCCUUGCCUGGCAGGUGACGCUUGCGUCGCUUAUCCUUGCAUGACGAGCCAAGCUGAGAAAGGCAAGCUUUGCUUAGGGAAGUAUCCAAGCAGCCUAACUUUUGGCAGCAUGCUGAAGUCUUGCAAUGAAAUAAACAGGGGUCGAAACCUUCUGUGGCAUCACCUACAUGACUAAAUUGCGGUGUGGCCAGUUCUAGCUCCCUGCCGACUCGAGUUUUUGUGCUUGGGUGAAGCACUGGUUUGGGGAGAAUUGGUUGCGAAGAAUUGGUUGUUGGUAGUGUUGCUCCGUGUUAGGUAUGGUAGCCGUUUACCAGUGACAACAUUGAGUGGUGGCAGCAACAACAGUUGUCAGUUCAAAGCAGCAGGGUAAGGGGGAGACCAGAAAAGAGAUACUAUUGUUAAAACUUGUCGAUUUCCAAAGUUUGCUGGCGAGGGAACUAGGCAAAAUGGAUUCCCUCGUUGCGAAGAAUUGGUUGUGCUGGGAGUGUUGCACAGCACUGGGCUUGGUAGUGUAUCAGUGAUGACAGUGAGUGGUGGUGGCAACAGCAGCUAUCGGUUCAAAGCAGCUGGGUUAGGGGGAGAAAAAGAGAUUAUGGUAAGAACAGCUAGAUUUUCUUGCCUGACAAGCAAGCGAUGCAUUGCUUAUCCUUGCAUGAUGAGCCGAGCUGAGAAAGUGGCAAGUUUUGCUCAGGAAGUAACAUAGGUCUAAACCUUGGCAUCACUAGCAUGACUAAAUUGUGGUGUGGCGAGUUCUGGCUUCCAACCGAAUGCCCCCAUUUGUCUCCCAACCCAAGAGGUUGGCAAUGAAUUCUCACCCCCAGCAAGUUUUUACGCAUUAAUUCGCUUCCUGUGUACACUUUCUUCCUGUGCUCGGGUGAAGUUAGAGCUUGGAUGACUCAAGUGCACUGGACACUCCAUAGAUGUCUUUCUAGAGACUAGCAUAAAUUGUGGCUGGUGCACAUGUUUAAACUUGGGCGGUGCACAAGAGGUGAAAAUGAGUUUCUAUUGCCUAUUACUUAAAAUUUUGUUUUGACCCUGGUGUUGGUGCAUUCGGGAUGCUGAGCAGAGAUGGGGAAUGGGAUACCAACUAGCUAGCUUGUCGCUUGGAUACUAGCUAUGUGUGCACUUGGAUUAUUGGAGUUUUCAUAUUUGCAGCAGCAACCGAGCAAACAGCACCAUCUGCUAAGUUGGAUCAAUCGAGGGUGAUUUCAGAGUGUCUGUGGACUCUUUGAAAUCUCAAAUGCAAGAUGCAAAAUUAUUCAAAUGAUUUUGGCGGCUUGUUUUAGCUGGGUUUGUAAGCUCUUUGAGACCAGUUUUCAUUUCUUUCUUCUGAAAGUUUGACAACAAUUUUGCUAGAUUGGGUUUAUGGGAGUAAGUGGAAGUGACGGAGGAAAUGCCGCCCUUCACUAACAUCGCCCUCAUAUGCCAUGUCACCAUGUUUGCGUUUUUUGGAAGCUCGCGUAACACAUUUCACCUUUGAUGCAUUCUCCUUGUCUUCAUAAUCCAAUGGUGUUGCCACAUCAACUAUAUCAACAUGUUUCACAAGUGCUGCUAUGUAUGCACCUAGAUACAUAGGAUUAUUUCCAAAAAUGUCACGCGAAGAACAAGAAUCCUUGGGCCCCAUAGCAGGCAGCUGAUCCAAAUUUUCCUCAAUAACCCUAGUAGUAUAUGUUCAAAGUUUUUGUUGUCUCAGUUGGUUUAUUAUCAGUGUCAACAGAUGAUACUGCCUCUUUUCAUCAACAGAUUGGAUGACUCGAGUGCACUGCACACUCAAGAGAUGUCAUUCUAGAGGAGGCUUUCCUCUAUACCACUAAAAAGAUAAAGCAGACCUUUGUGCCAUGACACUUUUCUUUUUUGUCUUCCAAGCCUCUUGAGUUGGGAGACAAAUGGUGGCACGCUCCAGCUUCCCCCAAAUCCCUACUGAAUUGCUAUUUAAUGUUCCUGUUCUUCCCCUCCGAUCCAAUGUCCCCCUAGUUGUAGCGCUCCCCACGGCAAUUGAACCACGGGCCACGGCAUUCACUGACAUUGAGGAGGCUUCCGACGCUGGUUGCCAUGAGGAAGAAGCUGGACACGCUUCCCUGCUGUAAGAUUCAAUCUUAGAUCCUGCGAUCGGUUUGAAUUCCUGUGUCCUAGUUUCGUUCAGUACAUGCAUCAGGAUAGUUGAGGGCUUUGGUUGGUGAUUUUGUGAAUUCACUGUAGAUUUGACUAUCUAAGCAGUUGAUCUGUACAAAGUCUUGGAAUGUUUGGGUCUUGUUACCUACCACCAGCAUUUCUGUUAUAGUUUCUGUGAUAGUUUUUUUGGUGUGGAUCAGGAUACCAUCUGAUCCCAAGCAUGAUAUAAUCAUCCAGUGUAAUUUCUAUUCAAAAGAAAUUGUGUACUCAUCAGCAGCUUCAAAUGUGUAUGGAUCCAACCAAAUUUGUGUUCCAAUGAUCAGAGGAACCAGCAGCCUAAAAAUGAGUGGCACAGAGGAAAACAAAACAUUAUCCCUUCUCUAGCCUGGGGGCAUCCGUUAGCCACCGUUAGCAGUGAAUAUGGGCAGAAUGGCUUGUGAGGCAACAAAGAAAAGUGUCAUGAUAUAGAGGUCCGCUCUAACUUUUUAGUGACACGGAGAAAGGGAUCAUCUUUCUUAAUGGCACACAGGGAAAAACCUCAUUCUAGAGACUGGCAGCAAUUGUGGUUGGUUCACAUGUUUAAACCUGGGCGGUGCACAAGAGGUGAAACUGAGUUACUAUUGCCUAUUACCUGAAAUUUUGUUUUGACCCUGGUGUCUUUGCAUUCGGGUGGCUUGACAUAUCUUCGCCCAUGUAGGUGGUUUUCAUCAAACAGUGUGGAUCGAGUUUUUAUUUUCUAAUAAACCAAAUGGACUGGAUCGAGCUUCUUCACAACGGCACUAGUAGUAACAGUCAAACAGAGAGCAACCCAGAUUUUGCUUAGAUUAAAAGCUUGGCAGCGACCGUCACUCAUGGUCUUACCAACCACGCUAAUAGUAGCAUGAUGUCGAUGACCUCGGCAACGGCACAUGAGGUCCUCAUCCUCCUAGAAGAGAUACUGGAGGACAUCUUCCUCUGCCACGGUGCUGCGGCUGACGUCCCCCGGGCCUCCGCUACCUACAAAUCGUAUCACUGAGUCGUUUGCAAUCACCAGUUCAACCGCAGGUUCCAGUUCGUCCACCCUCCACAAGAAUUCCACCAUGCCGAGACGCCACACAAGUCUGCUCCUGCUGCUAGAUCCCUUGUGUAGGCGGCAGACUUCACCUUCUCCUUCCUUCCCAUGAAACCCAACAAGAAGAGGUGAAACUGACAUGACUAAAUUGCAAUGUGGCAAGUUUUGCCUCCCUACCGAGUGCCACCAUUUGUCUCCCAAGUCCCAACUCAAGAGGCUGGGACUUGAUUCACACCCCCACAACAAUUUUUGGAUUUUCGCACAUUAAUUCGCUUCCUCUGUACACAUUCUUUUCGUGCUCAGCCGAAGCUAGAGAUUGGACGACUCAAGUGCACUGCACACUCAAGAGAUUGGCAGCAAUUAUGGCUGACACACAUAUUUAAACCUGGGCAAUGUACAAGAUGUGAAACUGAGUUACUAUUGCCUAUUACGUGAAGUUUUAUUUUGACCCUGGUGUCAGUGCAUUUGGGUGUAUUGAUAUAUCUUCACCCAUGUAGGUGGUUUUCAUCAAACGAUGGGGAUUGAGUUUUUAUUUUUCUAAUUAACCAAACAGAGUGGAUCGAGAUUCUCCACAAUGGUUGUAAUAGAACGGUAGGACAGAGAGCAGCUCAGGUUUUGCUUAGAUUAGAAGUUUGGCAACGAUAGUCAAUCUCACGGUCUCACCAACUACGCCGAUGGCAGCGUGAUGUCGACGACCUCUGCAAAGGUGCAUGAGGUCCAUGUCCUCCUAGAUGAGAUCCUAGAGGACAUCUUCCUCCACCUCGGCGUAGCAGCUGGCAUCGUCUGGGCCUCCGCUACAUAUAAAUCGCAUCGCUGAGUCGGCUGCAACCAACGGAUCCUACGCAGAUACCAGUUCCUCCGACCCCUGCCCGUCCUCGGAAUCUUAGAAUCCAUGGGGAAGGGAGAAAUCCACCACGCCGAGACUCCACACAAGUCUGCUCCUGCCGCUAGCUCCCUCGCGUGGGCAGCAGACUUCACCUUCUCCUUCCUAGGAAACCCAACAAGAAGAGGUGAAACUGGCAUGACUAAAUUGCAGUGUGGCGAGUUUUUGUUCCCUACCAAAUGCCCCAUUUUUUCUCCCAACACAAGAGGUUCGGAUUUGAUUCCCACCCCACAAGUUAUUGGAAUUGUGCGCAUUAAUGCGCUUCUUUUGUACAUGUUCUUCCCGUGCUCGGGCGAAACUAGAGCUUGAAUGACUCGAGUGCACGGCACACUCAAGAGAUGAUUCUUCCUGUGCUCGGGCAAAGCUAGAGCUUGAAUGACUUGAGUGCACUGCACACUCAAGAGAUGUCUGGCAGCAAUUGUGCCUGGUGCACAUGUUUAAACUUGGGCAGUGCACAGGAGGUGAAACCGAGUUACUACUGCCUAUUACCUGAAAUUUUGUUUUGCUCAAUAUGCUAAUUAAUUAAACUCUGUACAUAUAAGUCAUUGCCUUCUGAUGAUACAUACUCACACAACUAACUAUGGCUUACGGCUCAUCGCUAAAUGACAAAACCAGCUAGCUUGAUUCUUUGAAAUUAACACUCCUAGUAGCAACAGAGACCAGAUCGAGCCCGCCGUCGCCCUCCGGCCUCUAUUCCGCUCCCUAGAUCGAGCCUGCCAUCCCAUCGCCGGCACCCAGUAGGUUGCCAAUGGAGCCACAGAAGCAGCAGGUAAAGCAUGGUUCUCUUCUUUACUCCUGUGCAGGUGAUAGAUGUGGGGGUAGUAGGACCAUCCAGUCUGGCCAUAGAUUUUACAUUUUAUAUUUAUAUACAUAGAAUAGACGCGGGGGCCAUACAGAAAGCUGCCUGGCCGUGCACAUGAAGGCGAAACUAUUUUUGCUUUAGUAUGUCAUCAUCCCCAACCAAAAGUACUCUGUCAAAAUUCUGCACUGUUGGACCGGUAGCACGAGCGGCAAGCAAUGCUAGUCACACGGACGGCGGCUCUUGUCACACAGUCUGACAUCUGUAGGGCCGCUGGAAGAUGGAUGAAAGAGGGCAUAUCAUGUCGGACCAUGUUGGGAAUCUGCUAAGAGUUCUCUCUCGCCAUCCUUAUUAGAAGUCAAUGGAGGUGCAAAAAUUGGUGCGAAGUCUGAAUCAAGCACCGGUUUAUUUUCUAGCUCCUUAGCUACCAAGAGGAUGCUGGUGAAUGAACUAUGUAUCUCGUCAAAGCAAUCUUUAUUUCACUACUAUUUUUGAGGAGGUUAUUGCGGAGGAGAUAACACAUUGCUUAUGCUUUGGACUUGAAAGCAUUGGAUUUACCUCGAUUACUGUCAUAUCCCUGAAUUCCCAUAAUUUGUUUUGGUAAAUGAAUAUAACAGGAACAAAUUUGUACCCCUGUUCAUGCAGUAUCGUAGAUCUCAGAUCAGAGAGCAAGUUUUGUUAGGACAAAUCUUGAAGGUCAUAUGUGAAAUAAAGUGUAUGACACAUUUCCUUUUCCAUUACUCAACCCAAGACUUUAGACGCCACUUAAUCCCGGACGAGAUUUCUUUAAGGCCUUGUUUGGAUGCCCAUAUCUAUCCACCUCAAUCCAAUGGAAGGCGGCUUGUUGGGAAAAUGCGCAUUGCACUCCCCAGCAACACGGUGAAUCGAGAGCCUUCUCACGCGAUGCAGUGAGAGGACAAACAGUAACGAACAGAGGGCUCAACAGUAGGUGAAAACAAUGAAUGCUCUCUCUCUUAAUGGUGGCAUCGCUCCUCUUAUACAGGGCUCAAAAACCGACCUAAGACAAUUACAGAAAUGCCCCGUGACGGUGGGGGAAUAUCCUGGCAUAUUCCUACGUUACAGUCUACUGACCCCAAGUCAUUUAUGUAAUUUCACACCACGAGCUCCUCGCGCGCUCCACGGUCGGGGCUUCAACUCGUCGAACGCUUGAAUCCUCCGCCCGAUCAUCGAACCUUCGACGCACGUAUGCCGGAGGUUCCACGGCUUGGCCACGCCGGAGGUUCCUCGGCUCAGACGCGCCGGAGGCUCGUCCCCUCCGCCGCGUCCUUCGCGCUUCCUUCGUCCAUCCUCCGUCACGGGAAGGUCCGGAGGUUCCUUCCUUCUCCGUUCAUGACCUCCGUCGUUGUCUUAGCCCCUGCAAUUGCUCAGUAUCACAAGAGACGCGUUAAUAUUAGUCUCCCUCAGAACCUCCGCACAUAUUCGUACGAAGGUUCUCCGGGCGGAGGUUAUCCUCCGAGACAGCCAGGGGGAAGGAUGCGGCCAAUUCCUUCCUUCUCCGUUCAUGACCUCCGUCGUUGUCUUAGCCCCUGCAAUUGCUCAGUAUCACAAGAGACGCGUUAAUAUUAGUCUCCCUCAGAACCUCCGCACAUAUUCGUACGAAGGUUCUCCGGGCGGAGGUUAUCCUCCGAGACAGCCAGGGGGAAGGAUGCGGCCAGCCCCCAACACGGCUCUUGUCACAGUCUGACAUAUGUAGGGCUGCCGACCGAUGGAUGGAUGAGGGCAUAUCAUGUCAGACCAUGUUGGGAAUGUGCUAAGAGUUCUCUCUCUCGUCAUCCUUAUUAGAAGUCAAUGGAGGUGCCAAAAUUGGUGUGAAUUCUGAAUCAAGCACCAGUUUAUUUUCUAACUCCUUAGCAGUACCCAGAGGAUGCUGGCGAAUGAACUAUAUAUCUCACCAAAGCAAACUUUAUUUCACUAUGUUGAGGAGGUUAUUGCAGAGGAGAUAACGCACUGCGUAUGCUUUGGACUUGAAAGCAGUGUUGAUCAGGUGAGUUGACAACGACAAGUAAUUUACCUCGAUUACUGUUAUAUCCCUGAAUUCCCAUAAUUCACCUUUCUAGAUCACACUAGUGCUUUGUGUAAGAAAAAAAAAUGGUGUGUGCACAACUGCACAUGCACUUCCUUUGUGUAUGAGACACUUCUCUAUGAUUUGAUCAUAUAUUCAGGUGUUAGAUAUGCUAACGUCAUGUGUGAUGGUUAGAGGAAUUUCUCUCUUGUGCGGGUAAAGAAUGUUUCGAAAUUUGGUUCAUUCAUUGUAUUCAGCACCUAGCACUUUAUUUUGGAUUAGCAUAUCACAGCAGAUAUGAUGAUUCUUUCACAUUAUUCUCAUUCUUGGCACGUACAGGUGAUUUGCUAACUCAAUCAGGUUGAAUAUCAUAUUAAUACUACAUACCAUGUGCAGCGUAGGACUGUCAAAGGUUUACAUGAAAUGUAUGAGAAAACCCAAGAUAAGAUUCUGUUGAAAUUUGUGGCAGUCUUCCCUGCCUUUUAUUAACAAUUUGUCGAAGGCGAGGCUGGCUGGUGGGGCCCCUAGGCCAGUCGGUCUGCAGGUGGCCCCACCUGCAGUGAUCUGCUGUGGGUCGUGGUGGUUCGCCUUCUUGAAUGUACUAGAGUCUUCCUGAAUUGUUUUCGUCGUGAAUAAAUCAAGAUUAAAUCUGGCA
This is a long non-coding RNA of Sorghum bicolor (sorghum), 12527 nucleotides long. RefSeq lists it as uncharacterized. The transcript is spliced from 5 exons. NCBI's taxonomy places the organism in Eukaryota, Viridiplantae, Streptophyta, Magnoliopsida, Poales, Poaceae. The record is from RefSeq and is a predicted model, not a curated record.